RNAcentral lists this ribosomal RNA (245 nucleotides) under Heterosigma akashiwo. Its description in RNAcentral is "partial Bacterial small subunit ribosomal RNA". It matches the Rfam family "Bacterial small subunit ribosomal RNA", at positions 128 to 368 of the family's 1533-position model. Lineage: Eukaryota; Raphidophyceae; Chattonellales; Chattonellaceae. The record is from RNAcentral.
GCCCAUCAGCGGGGGAUAACACUUGGAAACAGGUGCUAAUACCGCAUAAUUCCAUUUACUGCAUGGUAGAUGGAUGAAAGGCGCUUUUGCGUCACUGAUGGAUGGACCCGCGGUGCAUUAGCUAGUUGGUGGGGUAACGGCUCACCAAGGCGACGAUCAGUAGGGGUUCUGAGAGGAAGGUCCCCCACACUGGCACUGAGAUACGGGCCAGACUCCUACGGGAGGCAGCAGUAGGGAAUAUUGGG